UACGGAGGGUGCAAGCGUUAUCCGGAUUUAUUGGGUUUAAAGGGUGCGUAGGCGGGUUAUUAAGUCAGUGGUGAAAGCCUGCAGCUUAACUGCAGAAUUGCCAUUGAUACUGAUGAUCUUGAGUAUGAUUGAGGUGGGCGGAAUGUGUCAUGUAGCGGUGAAAUGCUUAGAUAUGACACAGAACACCGAUUGCGAAGGCAGCUCACUAAGUCA
RNAcentral lists this ribosomal RNA (213 nucleotides) under uncultured bacterium. RNAcentral describes it as "partial 16S ribosomal RNA". It matches the Rfam family "Bacterial small subunit ribosomal RNA", at positions 524 to 736 of the family's 1533-position model. The record is from RNAcentral.